GAUGAACGCUGGCGGCGCGCCUAACACAUGCAAGUCGAACGAUUAAAGCACCUUCGGGUGUGUAUAAAGUGGCGAACGGCUGAGUAACACGUGGGCAACCUGCCCCUCUCAUUGGGAUAGCCACGGGAAACCGUGGAUAAUACCGAAUACUUCGGGACUUCCGCAUGGAAGACUCGAGAAAGCUCCGGCGGAGAGGGAUGGGCCCGCGGCCUGUUAGCUUGUUGGUGGGGUAAUGGCCUACCAAGGCAAUGAUGGGUAGCUGGGUUGAGAGACCGACCAGCCAGAUUGGGACUGAGACACGGCCCAGACUCCUACGGGAGGCAGCAGUGGGGAAUCUUGCACAAUGGGCGAAAGCCUGAUGCAGCGACGCCGCGUGCGGGAGGAAGGCCUUCGGGUUGUAAACCGCUUUCAGCAGGGACGAGGCGAAAGUGACGGUACCUGCAGAAGAAGCCCCGGCUAACUACGU
Molecule: ribosomal RNA, 466 nt
Filed under: uncultured bacterium
Lineage: Bacteria
Description: partial 16S ribosomal RNA
Rfam family: Bacterial small subunit ribosomal RNA
Source: RNAcentral